RNAcentral lists this ribosomal RNA (250 nucleotides) under uncultured prokaryote. Its description in RNAcentral is "partial 16S ribosomal RNA". It matches the Rfam family "Bacterial small subunit ribosomal RNA", at positions 524 to 773 of the family's 1533-position model. The record is from RNAcentral.
CACGUAGGGAGCGAGCGUUGUCCGGAAUUACUGGGCGUAAAGGGAGCGUAGGCGGGAGUGCAAGUCAGAUGUGAAAUGCAUGGGCUUAACCCAUGAGCUGCAUUUGAAACUGCAUUUCUUGAGUGAAGUAGAGGUAGACGGAAUUCCUGGUGUAGCGGUGAAAUGCGUAGAUAUCAGGAGGAACACCGGUGGCGAAGGCGGCUUACUGGGCUUUUACUGACGCUGAGGCUCGAAAGCGUGGGGAGCAAAC